This 2175-nucleotide long non-coding RNA is filed under the name Salvia miltiorrhiza (redroot sage). RNAcentral's name for it is "long non-coding RNA (SMIL_LNC007528)". Lineage: Eukaryota; Viridiplantae; Streptophyta; Magnoliopsida; Lamiales; Lamiaceae. The record is from RNAcentral.
AAAAAUGCAAUCAAUGAUUUGAGAAUCUCUCAGAAACUCUUCCUAAUGUUCAAAUGAAAAAAAAAUAUAGAUAUAUAUAUAUUUUGAAUAAUUUAAGGUUACAACGUCGGAGUUGGAAGCUCCAUGAACAACACUGAGAUUUGCAGGAUCUGUCUAUUGCAUGUGGAGCUAAGGAACAACAAGUUGGCCAAUGGCCAGGAAAUGGAAAAUCAAAAAUCUUAUCAAACCCCUCCAUAAACACAAUGCAGAUUAAAAGUAAGAAUUACAAAUCUUAAUUUAGAUUGUGAUGUUAAGAAGGCUAGGUAAUGUAACACUACGAAAGAUUUUCAUACAAUCAUCUUCUUCAAUGACUCUAUUUCGGACAGUUGAUAAGAAUCAAAUGUCAUGGGAUCCUUUGGCUAUCCACAUUUUCAAACAAUUCUUAUAAAGCUAACAGGAGUUGAGUCACAUUGAUUCGUACCUCUUUUUCCUCCUCUAAAAUUUCUUGUCCCGCCUCUUCGUAGCAGUCUUCCUACCAUUUCCAUCAGUCGUAAUAUGAGCAUAAAUUUACAAAAUAUAUGUUGAGAUGAAGCAGAUGAAAAUAUGUUCUAGUAACAUAAAUCAUCUAACAUUCCUUACCCUACAAGAAACUAACAUAAUCUCAGCAGGGAGUCAGGGACAUAAUGUGGCAAAAAUCAAAUGUUUUAUCUUCAUCAGCACACCAAAACAAAUCCAAUGAAAAAUGUAGCCAAGUAACUCAAUCUGAUAUGUGAUUUAACCGUCAAUGGUAAAAGAAAUAAAAGACACUAACUCACACCUAGGCAAAGAUGAGUGCCACAUUAGAGAAAUAUUCAUGUUUGGAUCAUGUGUAUAAACAAUAAAAUCAAGGAAAUAGACCGGCUUCUGUUCGAAAUCGAGAUGCUUCUCUACUUGGGAAUUCACUAAGAGCAUCAUUCAAGUCUAGAGCAAUUUCACGAACCAGAUUGAACUAUCAGAUGUCUCAACCAGAAAAAUGGAAACAAUUGCCAAUACACAUAAUCAUAUGGAGAAGAAUGUGUACAUGAAGCAUUUUCCUGUGUAUACACAAAUACAGAUAGAGGAUGGAGGCAGGCAGGUUAUAUACCUUUUGCUUGCCUUUAUAUAUUAUAAGCAGAGCUUAUGACACCUUGUAUUUUCUUUCCAGCUUGCCUAUAUGGACAAUACAUAAUGUUUGAGGAUUAAAUAUCAUAAAAAGCGAAACUUCAUACAAUUGCAACUUCACACAAUAUAAGAAUAUCACCCCUCCGCCUAAUUAAACAAUGCAAUAUUCCAUCUCCAAAUUUAACAUCAUAAAACGCAAAACUAACAUCAAUAAAUUCAGAAAGAAAGCAAGAACCCAAAUGAUAAUUAAAUUGAUGAAUGAUUCUUAGAAAUCAAAGUAAGAUUUUUGUCACUGACCUGCGGUUCUGGAACAAAACUUGCUUGAGCUUAAUGUUGCAAAGAAUGGGGCAUUCCCUGGUGAGCUGCAGUCAACAGCGGCGGCGACUGGAGGAGACGGAGCCGGCGGCGAUGACAUAGGAUUCUAGAUUUGGGAGUGGGAGAGAUGCGAUGGGAGAGCGAGAAAUGCGCAUUUAUAUGGUAGGGCGUCAAAGAAGAGCUGGCAUGCCUUGGAGGCUCCUAUGGAAAAUUAAUUCAAAGAUUUUACAGACUUUUAUCCUUACUUAAUUUCAAAUAUGUCGAAAUCUUUAUAGGGGAGCAAACAACUCAGCCUGAGCACUUUUAUAACUUAAUGAAGAAGACUGUCUAAUGUUUGGGAUCAACUUUAAACUAAGAGCAAGGACGUUUUAAAAAUUAUAUCUGAAAAUUAGGUGAUUGCUUUGACCCUAUGAGCUAAAAUGUUCUGCUAAUCAAACACAUGAAAUACUGGAAAACAGUCGCGCGGUGGGGUGGGGAGGAAAAGCAAGUAUAUAACCUAGUCUUUCCGCCGCCGAUAUCUUUGUAUUCCAGAAAGAGAAAAUGUUGCAGCAAAUAGUCCGACAAUUAUGAGAAACAAUAGAAACAUAUAAACGUCAAAUUGUUCAAUCACGUACCUUAAAAAAAAGUCUGGAAUCAGGCGGGGAGAUGGAGCACCAAAUCCUGCCAAUUUAGAUGUAUCAGCGGCGGGAGACCCGGUAUAUAGAGAUUAGCUAGCAUAUCAAUAUCAAUUGUUGUGAUAGN